ACAGGCACCUAUCGAAGCCGCUGUUGUUCUUGUGUAGCAGACCAUGUCAAAAGGCAGCCAGAAACGUUUACCGACGGCCGCUGUGCAGUAAAAAUAAAU
RNAcentral lists this small nucleolar RNA (99 nucleotides) under Hucho hucho (huchen). Lineage: Eukaryota; Metazoa; Chordata; Actinopteri; Salmoniformes; Salmonidae. The record is from RNAcentral.